GCUUCCUAAGGAACUUCAGCCUUUCUCCAGCAACCCUCACAUCUAUUUGACUUUCCAAGCUAAUAUCAUGGACUUCUGAUAUUUCACAUCCAACGCUUCCUUUUAUCAGACAUAACUUAAACCACUUGGAUAUCCUGGGAGACAGUGCAGAAAAAUUUAUUUAGCAUGUCUUACAUUUGUAGCACAAUUUGGGGAACUGUAGGAUGAUACAAAACUUGAAAGAUUUAGUUUAAGAGGCAGAAGACAUAGCGACGGACCUCAUGAACUGCGAACUCAAUGCUGCCAGCUCUGAGCAAGUGUUCCCCGGUGACUCCUCAGCUUUUCAUCCAGCGAGCAGUUGCUGAAGCAUUCUGAGCCCAGGACUGACUGAUUAGACCUGCUGUUUCUUCUGGAGAUCUCUGCGGAGUAGUGCCAGCAUGGGGGAUGGCAGGAAACUAUAGCACCAGAUUCAAUGCAGGGAUUGCCCCUGGAAACCAAAGCCACCAGCAAGGUGGGAAGCUGAAACGAAGUGCCAAGACCAGGAGAAAACAGUAUGAGAGAGAGAGAGAGAGAGAGAGAAUCAAAGCCACUUUUUUGUUUUUUAAAUCAUCACUUUUAAAAUUCAAGCAGGGACCCCCCCCCCCCAAGACUAACUUAGGAACCCAGCGGAGUAGAGAAUGAGAAACAGACUUGGGGGGAUUGUUGAAAGCCCUUUGUAUCUGAAGUUGGGCUCUGUUAUCAAAGUAGGGAUUUGGUGGCAGGAUGAAGACUUGCAUCCUCAUGGUUGUAGGAGACAGGCUAAUAAGAGUCAUCAACAGUUCUUCCAAGACUUCUUGGCCAUUGAGGAGCUUAGAAAAUUCCUGAGCAGAAUCUCAACGAGCCUACACUUUCUUUCCUAGCUACUCUGCAAUGGCUACGUGGUACCGAUAGAGAAUUUAUCAAGUUGAUAACUGAUAUCAGUGCGUCAAAGAACAGCAUCAAGAAAGUAAAAAGACAACGUGCAGAAUAAGAGAAAAUUUUGGCAAUCAUAUAGCUGAAAAGGGCUUAAUGAACUACAUAAACAACAAAAAGACAAACAGCCCAAUAUAAAAAGUGGGCCAAAGACUUGAAUAGAUAUUUCUUUUUUUGAAAUUAGUGUCUAUUUUUCAUUUUUUUUUAUUUGAAAAUCAGAGAGAGAGAAUUCUUCCCAAAUGCUUGCUACAGCCAGGGUUAGGCCAGGCAAAAGCCAUGAACCUGGAACUAAACCCACAUUUUCCACUUGGGUGACAGGGACCCAAGUACCCCAGCCAUCAUUUGCGGCCUCCCAGGAUCUGCAGCAGCAGGAAGCUGGGCCAGAACAGAGGAGCCAAGACUGGAACCAGGCACUCCAAUAGGAGAUGUGAGCAUAUCGAGUGGUGACGUAACCACUGCACAAACACCCACCCUGAACAGACAUUUCCCCAGAGACGGUAUUCAAAGAGUUCAUCAGUUCAGGAGAUACGCAACAUCACUGGAGAAACACAAGUCAGAACCACAAGAUUCCACUUCACAUCACACAUCAGGUGGGUGAAACUGGAACUAUCACACGUUGCCAGGAGAAAUGUACCUUGGCGCAGCCAUUGUGGACGACAGUUUGGAGUUUCCUUAAGAAGUGAAACAUGGAGUUGCUAAGCAAUCGAGCAAUUCCACUCCCAGAGUUAUACCCAAAAGACCUGAAAACAGGAACUCAAACAGGUACUUGUUUUGGAAAUAGUAGCAUUAUUUAUUAUAUCCAAAAGGUGGCAACAAUUCAAGUGUGUGUCUACAGAUGCAUCGAUAAACUGUGGAAUACACAUACAAGGAUUGCAACAUAGUAAGAAAAAAAAUAUUUACCCAUUUCCUGACACACAGCUCCCAAAACCCUUGGAAUCUCAGAAGUGAUGUGUCCAUUUAUUUAUUUGAGAGACAGAUAAAGAACAGACAAACAAAGCUUUCAUCUGCUGGUUCAUUCCUCAGAUGCCUGAAAUGGCCUGUACAGGGCUGGGCCUGGGGAAGCCAAGAGCCAAAAACUCAGCCUAGGUCUCCCAUGUGGGUGGCAGGAACUCAAGUCGCCAUCCCUGCUCCUUCUAGGGAUCUACCUUAGCCGGAAGCGGCAGUCAGGAGCUGGAGCCAGGUGGUGGGGAUGGAAUCCAGGCCCUCUUGUGUGGAUCCUGGUAUUCAGAAGUCUAGGCUACAUGUGUCUUUUGUAUGCUCAUGAGAUGACUGGGGCUGGGGGCUCCUGGAUGGCCCCUGAUGGAGGCUGCUCGCCAAGGGAAGCGACUCUGCGGUUUGAGCUGGAACUUUCAGCCCGGACCUCUGUGGCAGGGGAGAAGGGCUGGAGGUUGAAUGAUGCAAUCAACCAUGCUUCCUAGUGAAGCCGCCACAAAAACCCCAGAGGGCAAGGCUUGGAGAGCUUCCAGGUUGCUAAAUCCCUGAGAUUCCCGGAGGGUGACACCCUGGAGGGAGCACCCAGGUCUCUUCCAUUCGGUUAUUCCUGCAUCGCAGCCUUCACGACAAACUGACACGCGGGGGUGAAGUGUUUCCUGAGUUUUGUGAGCUGGUGUAGCAAAUGAUACAGCCAGGGGAGGAUUGGAGGGAACCUCACGUCAGGAGUGCCGGUGACAACUGGGGACUUAGGGCGGGGGAGAGGGAAUGGGGAGCAGGUGCUUCGCAGGCACAGUUUCAGUUUGGGCAGAUGAACGUGGUUUGGAAAUAGGUAAAUGCUGAUGGUUGUGCAACCCUGCAGAAAUACUUAGCGUUGCUUCCUGAAUUGUACACUUCAGAGAGGUUAAGACAGCAGCAAAUUGUAUGUUAUGUUUGCUUUACCACAGUUUUAAGGCUUCCUUAUGUAACAUUCCCCAGACCACUGUACGCUUUAAAUGAGUGAAUUGUAUGGUAUGUAAAUCCCAUCUCAAUAAAGCUGCUAAAAACAGAGAUUUAAAGCAGAGAUCGAUUUGAUGAAAGGUCAGCCGGCUCCGAGCUGUGCAGCAUGGGACCCGCCAGAGGGGGCGCACUCC
This is a non-coding RNA of Oryctolagus cuniculus (rabbit), 2993 nucleotides long. Lineage: Eukaryota; Metazoa; Chordata; Mammalia; Lagomorpha; Leporidae. The record is from RefSeq and is a predicted model, not a curated record.